This 433-nucleotide ribosomal RNA is filed under the name uncultured bacterium. RNAcentral describes it as "partial 16S ribosomal RNA". It matches the Rfam family "Bacterial small subunit ribosomal RNA", at positions 29 to 507 of the family's 1533-position model. The record is from RNAcentral.
AGCGAACGCUGGCGGCAUGCCUAACACAUGCAAGUCGAACGAGACCUUCGGGUCUAGUGGCGCAUGGGUGCGUAACGCGUGGGAACCUGCCCUUAGGUUCGGAAUAACUCCCCGAAAGGGGUGCUAAUACCGGAUAAUGUCUUCGGACCAAAGAUUUAUCGCCUUUGGAUGGGCCCGCGUUGGAUUAGCUAGUUGGUAGGGUAAAAGCCUACCAAGGCGACGAUCCAUAGCUGGUCUGAGAGGAUGAUCAGCCACACUGGGACUGAGACACGGCCCAGACUCCUACGGGAGGCAGCAGUGGGGAAUAUUGGACAAUGGGCGAAAGCCUGAUCCAGCAAUGCCGCGUGAGUGAUGAAGGCCUUAGGGUUGUAAAGCUCUUUUACCCGGGAUGAUAAUGACAGUACCGGGAGAAUAAGCUCCGGCUAACUCCGUG